Molecule: long non-coding RNA, 626 nt
Organism: Felis catus (domestic cat)
Lineage: Eukaryota; Metazoa; Chordata; Mammalia; Carnivora; Felidae
Exons: 3
Source: RefSeq, a predicted model, not a curated record
UCAGAAUUCCCUUGGGUUUAGAUGAAUGUUUUCAAAGGGCUAACUGGAAGGACCCUAAUAUAAAAGAUGCCAAGGGCCAUCACACAAAAAUAAGGGAAUCCUGGAAGGAGUAUCAUGGUUGUUAUUGAAUACGGGUUGCUACAGAGACAGCAGAGAAGACUGACUUGAGAAACGUUUGGAAAAAAUAACUCAACAUUGGAAGUUGUUGGUACAUUCAUGAAGGCACACUGCUACAUACCCCAAUAACAGAUGAAUAAGGUCUGCUCCGUACCCCGAAAAAGCUCACAGGCCAGAGCACGAGGAAUGACAUCUUCCAGGAGAGAAACAACACAGCAGAAAGGUAGACCUGAGGUCCAGCCCAGUCCUGCUACAUGGUAAUUGGACACCUUGCACAAAUUACCUAUACCCUUAGAGCUCUGGGUUCUGAACACCUACUUCACAAAAUUGCUGGGGAUUAAAUGAGAUGGUGUUAGAAGCUUUAGAGCUCCCAUCUUUAAGAGUGCACACAAUAAAUGUAAGUCAAUAUGAGGAUGAUCUUCUAAGGAGUUAAAAUGUGAAAAAUAGGGGUGCCUGGGUGGCUACGUCGGUUAAGCGUCUGACUUCAGCUUAGGUCAUGAUCUCGCUGU